UUAGUGGGUGUUUGCUUUA
RNAcentral lists this non-coding RNA (19 nucleotides) under Arabidopsis thaliana (thale cress). The record is from RNAcentral. Lineage: Eukaryota; Viridiplantae; Streptophyta; Magnoliopsida; Brassicales; Brassicaceae.